GAUGAACGCUGGCGGCGUGCCUAAUACAUGCAAGUCGAGCGAACAGACGAGGAGCUUGCUCCUCUGACGUUAGCGGCGGACGGGUGAGUAACACGUGGAUAACCUACCUAUAGGACUGGGAUAACUUCGGGAAACCGGAGCUAAUACCGGAUAAUAUAUUGAACCGCAUGGUUCAAUAGUGAAAGACGGUUUUGCUGUCACUUAUAGAUGGAUCCGCGCCGCAUUAGCUAGUUGGUAAGGUAACGGCUUACCAAGGCAACGAUGCGUAGCCGACCUGAGAGGGUAAUCGGCCACACUGGAACUGAGACACGGUCCAGACUCCUACGGGAGGCAGCAGUAGGGAAUCUUCCGCAAUGGGCGAAAGCCUGACGGAGCAACGCCGCGUGAGUGAUGAAGGUCUUCGGAUCGUAAAACUCUGUUAUUAGGGAAGAACAAAUGUGUAAGUAACUAUGCACGUCUUGACGGUACCUAAUCAGAAAGCCACGGCUAACUACGUG
Molecule: ribosomal RNA, 497 nt
Filed under: uncultured bacterium
Lineage: Bacteria
Description: partial 16S ribosomal RNA
Rfam family: Bacterial small subunit ribosomal RNA
Source: RNAcentral